GGCGGCGGGCCAGUGCCUCUCGUGCCGCGGCCAAGAUCGGACACACCCCCUGCUCGCUCAGCCCAAGCGCCAAGCCACACGCCAGCCUGCCUCGACCAGGGAUAGAAGUAGUGGAUUGUACUUAUUUUCGCUGGUUUAGAGUUCGGGCUUUUUGAUCGCUAAGAUGCGUGUGUCCCUCCUGCUGGUGGCCGCGAUCAUGAUGAUGUGCAUGGUGGUGGGCUUAGCGGCUCCGCAGCGGUUCUUCGCGUGGCCCAAGUUCUUCAAGAAGAGGGCCAGGCUCAGGUCCAGGGGCGGCAGAGGGCGCGGCUGCACGGACGCGGGCCUCGGGAUCGUGUCCUGCCGUUGAUCCGUUGCUCUCAUGGACUCACCUCGGGUCAGCCACCAGGAGGACCCGUGUUGACUCCGCUCUUCGGGUGCCAAGAGGUCGCAGCUGGACUAUGAGGUCCCGGCUUGGCUGUCGACCUCCACGGGACCUGGCCCUCCCGAAGACCUUCCUCUCGCAACCCCGUUUGUGGUUUACCUAGGGCUCAGUGACGCCGACUUGGCACACCGCGUCAGGAGCCCAGGAGGAUGCGGGGCAAGGGCCGUCCCUGUUCACAUCUGCCACAGACAAAGGAAGCGGUUAAGGUCACCUCGAGCCCCGCGUAGCCUCUGGACGCGGUUAGAUGUGUAGUUUGUACUCCUUAUAUAUUGUUAUUCCAAUUCAAACAUGUCUGCGACGGCGUGAGAUAUGAACGAGGCAGUUCUUGCUUUUGCCGGCCAGUGUAAAUCUAACCUUUUGUCCAUCAGUUGUCACCAUUUUUGUUUCAUUAAAAAUAUGAUUCAUUCAGCCAGGUCAGAUUUUAUAUUUAAAAAAAUGUCUUAGGUGUUUUAUAAUGCUCGUUGGUUAUUUCAUUUUUCAUCAAAGUCAACUUGUAAAUGUUUGUAAAUAAUCAUUUUUGGAACAAACCUGAAAAUUCUGAUUAAACAUUAUUUGCAUCA
Long non-coding RNA from Penaeus monodon (black tiger shrimp), 981 nucleotides. RefSeq lists it as uncharacterized. NCBI's taxonomy places the organism in Eukaryota, Metazoa, Arthropoda, Malacostraca, Decapoda, Penaeidae. The record is from RefSeq and is a predicted model, not a curated record. The transcript is spliced from 2 exons.